AUUCUGUCUACUCAAAUCUUUGGAGUGAAAGGAAUUAUAGACCGGUUGUAUCGACAUCGAAUGUACUUUUCUUGUUCUGGAUA
Long non-coding RNA from Setaria italica (foxtail millet), 83 nucleotides. RefSeq lists it as uncharacterized. Lineage: Eukaryota; Viridiplantae; Streptophyta; Magnoliopsida; Poales; Poaceae. The record is from RefSeq and is a predicted model, not a curated record. The transcript has 2 exons.